UGUAAAUGCCCUCCUUGGGUGUUUCCUCCCUAGACUUGGACCGCCGCGAGGCGGUCUUUUUUUGGCAAUCC
RNAcentral lists this small RNA (71 nucleotides) under Rhizobium sp. BK661. RNAcentral describes it as "suhB". It matches the Rfam family "Makes More Granules Regulator RNA (mmgR)". From Rfam's summary of the family: SuhB later renamed mmgR (makes more granules regulator) was a putative non-coding RNA found multiple times in the Agrobacterium tumefaciens genome and related alpha-proteobacteria. Other non-coding RNAs uncovered in the same analysis include: speF, ybhL, metA, and serC. The record is from RNAcentral. Lineage: Bacteria; Pseudomonadati; Pseudomonadota; Alphaproteobacteria; Hyphomicrobiales; Rhizobiaceae. RNAcentral also lists the same sequence under 3 other names.